Leucoraja erinaceus (little skate) is the source of this 396-nucleotide long non-coding RNA. RefSeq lists it as uncharacterized. The transcript is spliced from 4 exons. The record is from RefSeq and is a predicted model, not a curated record. Lineage: Eukaryota; Metazoa; Chordata; Chondrichthyes; Rajiformes; Rajidae.
CCCCCUCCACCACCGCCCCCUCCUCCACACACCAACACCCGGGCAGUCCGGGGCACCCACACCCGACGGAGCCGGCAGUCCCCCCGUCCCCCCCGCACCGAGACAGGACUGAAAUCCAAACAUCAAAACCCAUCAGGUCAAUAAAUACUCUCCACCAGUUUUGCUGCUACCCAUCUUUGCACAACACCCACCUAGGUCACCCUGUGAGACACACAGAUUGCAGGGUGGAGGACGAUGAUGACAUUCACCAGUUCUGCUGCCCUGCCUCGGAAUGUAGCAGCCCGUCGUCGAGGUAACCGGGGAUCGCAGUGCCCCCCCCGAGUCGAGCCGAGCCGAGCCGAGCCGAGCCGAGCCGAGCCUGCCCCGGCCACAUGCAUGUAUGAAGACCGGCGGGCA